AAAAUUUACCCUAGCAACAUCCUGUCUUCCAGACAUCCACGCUACCUGAAAGAAGACAGCUUUCUGAAUCCAACGAUACCAGUUAUGUGCACGUCGGACCUCCGCUUCAAAAGAUACGGCCAGACAUCCACGCUACCUGAAAGAAGACAGAUUUCUGAAUCCAACGAUACCACUUAUGUGCACGUCGGACCUCCGCUUCAAAAGAUACGGCCAGGAUAUUACCCUUGGCUUCUCGUCGCCCUCUCCUGGAUAAAACUGUGAAUAGCCAUGUACAUCCACGCUACCUGAAAGAAGACAGCUUUCUGAAUCCAACGAUACCAGUUAUGUGCACGUCGGACCUCCGCUUCAAAAGAUACGGCCAGGUAAGCUUUGGCCAAUCAGAUCGCAUAUGCUAAUGAAGGUGGAACCAAUGAGGGUGAAACUCGCUUUUAUCUAUAUACCUGUCUUCCAGACAUCCACGCUACCUGAAAGAAGACAGAUUUCUGAAUCCAACGAUACCACUUAUGUGCACGUCGGACCUCCGCUUCAAAAGAUACGGCCAGGAUAUUACCCUUGGCUUCUCGUCGCCCUCUCCUGGAUAAAACUGUGAAUAGCCAUGUACAUCCACGCUACCUGAAAGAAGACAGCUUUCUGAAUCCAACGAUACCAGUUAUGUGCACGUCGGACCUCCGCUUCAAAAGAUACGGCCAGGUAAGCUUUGGCCAAUCAGAUCGCAUAUGCUAAUGAAGGUGGAACCAAUGAGGGUGAAACUCGCUUUUAUCUAUAUACCUGUCUUCCAGACAUCCACGCUACCUGAAAGAAGACAGAUUUCUGAAUCCAACGAUACCACUUAUGUGCACGUCGGACCUCCGCUUCAAAAGAUACGGCCAGGAUAUUACCCUUGGCUUCUCGUCGCCCUCUCCUGGAUAAAACUGUGAAUAGCCAUGUACAUCCACGCUACCUGAAAGAAGACAGCUUUCUGAAUCCAACGAUACCAGUUAUGUGCACGUCGGACCUCCGCUUCAAAAGAUACGGCCAGGUAAGCUUUGGCCAAUCAGAUCGCAUAUGCUAAUGAAGGUGGAACCAAUGAGGGUGAAACUCGCUUUUAUCUAUAUACCUGUCUUCCAGACAUCCACGCUACCUGAAAGAAGACAGAUUUCUGAAUCCAACGAUACCACUUAUGUGCACGUCGGACCUCCGCUUCAAAAGAUACGGCCAGGUAAGCUUCGGCCAAUCAGAUCGCAUAUGCUAAUGAGGGUCGAAUUAAUGAGGGUGAAACUCGCUUUUACCUAUAUACCUAACCCUAAC
Megalobrama amblycephala (Wuchang bream) is the source of this 1287-nucleotide long non-coding RNA. RefSeq lists it as uncharacterized. The transcript is spliced from 8 exons. NCBI's taxonomy places the organism in Eukaryota, Metazoa, Chordata, Actinopteri, Cypriniformes, Xenocyprididae. The record is from RefSeq and is a predicted model, not a curated record.